CUAAGGCUAGUGUUUUUUUUUCAAAUAUUAGUAUCUUUUCUUCGUUAUUGGUAUUGAUAUAAAUUAACUAUAAACAAAUUUUCGCUGUAAACAACCAUUGGAGUUGGAUAGAAUAUAGCCAUUCGUCUUACUUGGAAAAUUAAUAUAAGAAUUCUUUUUCUAUAUAUUUCAGAUCUAAUUUAAUCGGCGUAAACAAUAAGGGCUACAGUACUUUGGAUGGGCAAAUAGAAAAUUGAGAUUGCUAUGAGCAUAACUCCUCAAAUGACAUUAUUUCUUCCAAUUUUCAUGAAUUAUUUAUGUACAAAAAGAAUAUAGAACAAAUAUUUUUCGCUAAAUCGAAAAGGAAAUGGCAAAUAUCUAACGUUCGCCAACUCAACGCGUAAUUAUAUUCUCACAUAGUGUAACGAAACAAUUCAUUCUAAGAUACUAAUCUAACUUACAUUAUUGACAUAUGCUUUCUAAUAAAAUUUUACAAACAUAAAAUGAUAUAUAAUACAUCUCUUGUCUCAUCUCUUGUAUAAAGGAGACAAUAUCAUAUUCAAUAGAAUUGAGCUUAAAUCUUUGUCAUCUUUAUGAUGAUAUUUUAUAAUAACGUUCUUCGUAUGUGCAUCUCUUGUCUCAUCUCUUGGUCUUCUUUGCAUAGUCCAUCUAAUUUGCAUAGGGCAUCUAUGACAAUUCUUAUAUAUUAUAAGAGCACAACUUUUUAUACAGAGAAACCGCGAUCGAAAACCGCUUUAAUUCAACAAACACCAGCAAUCACCAGCAUCAAGUUUUAUCACAUCCUUAAACACAAACCAGAAGCUGAAACAACCCACAUCCUUGAACCCUACUUUAGAAAUCCGUAACAGUAUAGGAUGGUGAAGAAAACAUGAGACAGCCAUUAUGUUUGGAGAAAGAAAAACAAGAAAUUAAGAACCUUAAAAACGAAUGAUUCGGUGAAAUAGGGAUGAUGUGAAAAGAGGCAGAGGAUAAAGAGAAUAUAAAUAGACGUUUGGAGAAGCUAGGGUUUCCUAGAUCUGAUUUUUGUGAAAUGACAG
This 1037-nucleotide long non-coding RNA is filed under the name Nicotiana benthamiana. RNAcentral's name for it is "long non-coding RNA (NBEN_LNC016952)". The record is from RNAcentral. Lineage: Eukaryota; Viridiplantae; Streptophyta; Magnoliopsida; Solanales; Solanaceae.